This 525-nucleotide long non-coding RNA is filed under the name Bos taurus (domestic cattle). Its description in RNAcentral is "long non-coding RNA NONBTAT023473". Lineage: Eukaryota; Metazoa; Chordata; Mammalia; Artiodactyla; Bovidae. The record is from RNAcentral.
UUGUGACAAGCUCUGAAGACAAAGAUGUGACUACUUCUCCAUCUCUGCAUAAUGCCUAACAACAAAAUAGGUGUGAAAAUAGGCCUUUGCCACCCAUCCUAGUACUAAGUUCACAAAGUAAAUGCUAAAAAUCAAAGAUAAAACUUUCUGAAAAUGUAGUUUAUCGCAACAAAUACCACCUUGCUGAUGCAUAUUAAGCAGGAUUAGCAGUAAAACCACAAAAAGGCUGUCAGAUCAAACCUGAAUUUAAACAAAUUCUGACCAUAAGUUUUAACUUAGUUUCAAUGUUAAAAUACAGAAUAUUUUGAAGCAAAUUGAAACUAUGGGUUAGCUAAAUAGCAAUAAGACUUAUCCUGAUGAGUACCUGAUGGUUUCAAGUCUUGCAAUUAUUUUUUUUGAAAUUAUUGAAAAAUACAGUAAAAAUGUUUUCACAGCCACUAAGAUUGUUGGGUCUUCAUUUACCAUAGCUUCUUACAUGAUUAUAUUACAGAUAAUUUAAUUACCAGUGUCCCCUUAACUUUUCAA